GCCUACGGCCAUACCACCCUGAAAGCGCCUGAUCUCGGAAGCUAAGCAGGGACGGGCUUGGUUAGUACCUGGAUGGGAGACCGCCUGGGAAUACCAGGUGUUGUAGGCU
Xenopus tropicalis (tropical clawed frog) is the source of this 109-nucleotide ribosomal RNA. Lineage: Eukaryota; Metazoa; Chordata; Amphibia; Anura; Pipidae. The record is from Ensembl.